UACACUCCUACGGGAGGCAGCAGUGGGGAAUAUUGCACAAUGGGCGCAAGCCUGAUGCAGCCAUGCCGCGUGUAUGAAGAAGGCCUUCGGGUUGUAAAGUACUUUCAGCGGGGAGGAAGGCGAUAAGGUUAAUAACCUUGUUGAUUGACGUUACCCGCAGAAGAAGCACCGGCUAACUCCGUGCCAGCAGCCGCGGUAAUACGGAGGGUGCAAGCGUUAAUCGGAAUUACUGGGCGUAAAGCGCACGCAGGCGGUCUGUCAAGUCGGAUGUGAAAUCCCCGGGCUCAACCUGGGAACUGCAUUCGAAACUGGCAGGCUAGAGUCUUGUAGAGGGGGGUAGAAUUCCAGGUGUAGCGGUGAAAUGCGUAGAGAUCUGGAGGAAUACCGGUGGCGAAGGCGGCCCCCUGGACAAAGACUGACGCUCAGGUGCGAAAGCGUGGGGAGCAAACAGGAUUAGAUACCCCUGUAGUCCCAUG
RNAcentral lists this ribosomal RNA (476 nucleotides) under uncultured organism. RNAcentral describes it as "partial 16S ribosomal RNA". It matches the Rfam family "Bacterial small subunit ribosomal RNA", at positions 332 to 799 of the family's 1533-position model. The record is from RNAcentral.